GUCUAGAGGCUUCGGCAAUGGGGGAAACCCUGACCGAGCGACGCCGCGUGCAGGAUGAAGGUCUUCGGAUUGUAAACUGCUUUCGGCCGGAAAGAAAGCCUGGAUGAGAGUUCAGGUGUGACUGACCGGCGGAAGAAGCCCCGGCUAACUUCGUGCCAGCAGCCGCGGUAAUACGAAGGGGGCAAGCGUUAUUCGGAUUUAUUGGGCGUAAAGGGCGUGUAGGCGGCUGGGGAAGUCCGGUGUGAAAACGCUACCGCUCAACGGAGCGAAGCCGCUGGAAACUCCCCAACUUGAGAGACGCAGAGGUGGGCAGAAUACCUGGUGUAGCGGUGGAAUGCUUAGAUAUCAGGUAGAAUACCCGAGGCGAAGGCGGCCCACUGGGCGUUUUCUGACGCUAAGGCGCGAAAGCGUGGGGAUCAAACGGGAUUAGAAACCCCAGUAGUCC
Molecule: ribosomal RNA, 445 nt
Filed under: uncultured bacterium
Lineage: Bacteria
Description: bacterial SSU rRNA
Rfam family: Bacterial small subunit ribosomal RNA
Source: RNAcentral